CCCAGGUUCAAGCGAUUCUCCUGCCUCAGCCUCCCGAGUAGCUGGGAUUACAGACAUGCUAAGCUACCUGCCACCACGCCUAGCUAAUUUUUUUAUACUUUUAUUAGAGACAGGGGUUUCACUAUGUUGACCAGGGUGGUCUUGAAUUCCUGACCUCAAGUGAUCUGCUUACCUCAGCCUCCUAAAGUACUGGGAUUACAGGCAUGAGCCACCACGCUCAGCCUAAGGUUCUGACUUUCUAAUAAGCUCCCAGCUGAUAUAGACACUGCUGGUCCUUGGAAUAAGAAGGGUAGAAGUAGCUACCUAGAUAGCUACUAGAUAGCUAGGAGUAUCUAAAACGUUCCAAAGUGCCAUGUUUUCUUAGUUUUUAAGAUUUUUUUUCCUCCACUGCUGUCACUUCUUGUUGCUAUUAACUUGCCUAUUUUUUACCAGCCUCUUCCCUCACUUCUGUCAAGGGCUGAAACCAGAUUAAUCAAGGGUCUAAGAAGCAUGUUUAAAGCGAUGGUAAAGCACCUGGCCUCGGUAACUUAUCGUUUCAUUUGAAGAAGCAGCUUUGCUUAUGUUCUGGUUCUCAAUGGGCUCCACAGAGGAGAGCUAUUUAUAUGUAUACCAUUUAGAGGCAUAAAGUUUUACUACAUUUAAAGAUUGGUAUAUACCAUUUUAUGUUACUUAGCAUAAACAAUUUUAAGUUAAAAGCAAUAUCAUAUAAGGAGGUAGAAGCACUUCGGUGUGUUGAAAAACCUCCAUUCUUUUCAAUAACAUAUUCAGACACGGACAGGGUGACUUAAGUAUAUAAAAAGUCAAAAGACAAAUUUUAAAAAGAUUAAUGAUCAGGAAUUCAGGAAUUGUUAACUGGCCUAUGUAUCCCUUAACUGGGAUACAAAAUUGUGCCCACAUGGGCAUUUUUCUAGGGAGGUCUUUUGAUUCCUGAAACCCAUCUCUUACUAUUCAGGUUAAGUGCCUGGGUAGCCACUGAGCAUCUGACUUGAUGAAGCCCCACCAGGUGAUUCUGGCAGUCAGCCAGGCAUAGGAACUGCUGGGAUGGAUAUAUUGCCCUCAAUCUAAGUGCACAGCUUUUGAUUCACUCUCUCACUGGCUCACUCUCUCUCUGUCUCUCUUGCUUGCUCUCUCGCUCUCUCUGUCUCAAUCUUUGUCUCAUUCUCUCGCUGUCUCUCUCGCUCUCUGUCUCUCUUGCUCUGUCUCUCUCUGUGUCUCUUGCUCUGUCUCGCUCUCUUGCUCUGUCUCACUGUCUCUCGCUCACUGUCUGUCUCACUCUUUUGCUCUCUCUCGCUCUCUCGCUCUGUCUCGCUCUCUCUCGCUCUCUCGCUCUGUCUCGCUCUCUCUCGCUCGCUCUCUGUCUCACUCUUUUGCUCUCUCUGUCUCUCUGUCUCUUUCACUCUGUCUCUCUCAGUCUCUCCCUGAAUCUCUCGCUCUCUGUCUCGCUCUGUCUCUCUUGCUCUCUCUCGCUCUUUCGCUGUCUCUCUCGCUCUUUGUCUCUUGCUCUCUGUCUCUUGCUCUGUCUCGCUCUCUCGCUCUGUCUCUCUCUUGCUUGCUCUCUGUCUCACUCUUUCCCUCUGUCUCUUUCACUCUUCCUGUCUCUCUCUCGCUCUCUGUCUCUCUCGCUCUGUCUCACUCUCUCUGUCUCACUCUCUCGCUCUGUCUCUCUCUUGCUUGCUCUGUCUCACUCUUUUGCUCUGUCUCUUUCACUCUCCCUGUCUGUCUCUCUUGCUCUCACUCUGUCUCACUCUGUCUCACUCUGUCUCACUCUCUCUGUCUUGCUCUCUCUGUCUCUCGCUCUUUUGCUGUGUCUCUCGCUCUCUCUGUGUGUCUCUCUCUCACUCUCUUGCUCUGUCUCUCUCGCUCUUUCGCUCUGUCUCGCUCUCUGUGUCUCUCGCUCUCUCUCUG
RNAcentral lists this long non-coding RNA (1905 nucleotides) under Homo sapiens (human). RNAcentral's name for it is "HSALNT0044886". Lineage: Eukaryota; Metazoa; Chordata; Mammalia; Primates; Hominidae. The record is from RNAcentral.